GCACGCGGCGGACAGGGACUAGGGGUGCACGUGCGUAUAUAAGCACCUGGGGAGGGGGACAGAAGCUGAGGAGGUGUGCACCUGUGCAUGUACACGGGUGUGUGCGCAUCCGGGGAAUGGGGGGUAGGAGUGUGUAUACACGUGUGGGCACAUGAGGAACAGGGGCAAAGUGUGCAGGAUGCAGAAAUUGCCAGGCAGGGGAUUGAACCCACACCACAGCCGCAACCCGAGCCACUGCGGUGACAACACAAAUCCUUAAGCUGCUGAGCCACAGGACUCCAGGAUCAGUCAAUCUUAAGGACUCACAUGACUACUUACAGGCUGAAGCCACAGUCCUUUGAGAAGCUCCCCUUGGACCCGACAGCUUCUAGAAGAUCACGGCACCCAGUCUCCCCAGAUGUCUCCUUCCGGCCUCGUUUGCUACUUGAGCGCCCGUCUCUGCUCUUCCUCCGAAACGCCCACCUUGGCCAGGAGAGUAAUUCCUUUCAUCCCCUGACCACCAACCCUGCCGUCCAGCGCGGUGUCCUUCUGGGUGAUUUCAUGUUGCUGAGAUGACAUCGGGCUGUUUUUUAUGGAACCCCACAACGGAAGGUCCGAGGUCCUUCUCCUCGUGUCAUUUCCCUCCUCAGUAGAACCCAUGACCAUCGGCCAGGAGGGAAAGUCCCAGGAGCCAACAGCACGAUUUUGGGAAACUUGAUUUUAUGUUCAACCGAAUGCCUCUGCUCACGUCCCUACUGCUGUCCCCUUACCUCACCGAGUCAGAGAAGGGCCCUGCAGCUUACCCGCUGCAAUGAGGCUGGGGUGACCUCGGGAGGUCAAUGAGCUCGGAUGAGUGAUCUCAGCUCCUCUCUGGCUCAGAUUUCUUUAGCUGAGAAAUAAGAAAAUAAAAAAUAAAGUUCUUUAUAAG
Molecule: long non-coding RNA, 907 nt
Filed under: Sus scrofa (pig)
Lineage: Eukaryota; Metazoa; Chordata; Mammalia; Artiodactyla; Suidae
Description: lncRNA (ENSSSCG00050037788.1)
Source: RNAcentral